Long non-coding RNA from Apus apus (common swift), 3208 nucleotides. RefSeq lists it as uncharacterized. The transcript is spliced from 2 exons. The record is from RefSeq and is a predicted model, not a curated record. Lineage: Eukaryota; Metazoa; Chordata; Aves; Apodiformes; Apodidae.
GUGUUUGUUCCUUGGCAAGGAGCACGUGUCAGUUUGACAAGGUUGGAAGGUUCUUAAGGGGCCACAAAUCAGUUGCUGUUGCCAGUGGGAAGAAGGUGACUGGUUAUUGACACAAGCAGUGAAGUGAAGGGAACAGUUUUACCUCAGACAUUCCUCUAGGGGAGGGGCAGAGUCUGCUCUUUGGACAGUGCUCAGAUUUACAAGAAUGGAGUUCUUUAGACCUUCUGUGUAACUUGCCUGUAAGCUUUUUGUUGUUUUCAAGACCUCUUGUACAUAAGUGACCUGGCAGCUAUGGAGUGGGUCUGUAUUUACAAAGGUGGCUGAGUUCUGGUACUUGGCAGGUAGAGAAGAUACUACUCUAGGGACAAGUGGUUCUGCUACAAAGCUGGCCUUCAGUUGUUAGGCAUGGGUGGUGUUCUUAGCUCAUCCUCCACACUGUGAAGACAGGUUUUCCCUCUCAAGAGUAAUCUCACUGACUGUUACAAGGCCAGACACUGUAGCCUUCAGAUUGAUGCUGUUUGGAUGACUGCUGUAAAAUGUAAAUGCCCAGGAUGAGAUCAGUGGAAGCAGCUCUUUGGAGUUCACCCUCGUGUGGGAACCUCAGCUAAGGAAGUGAACUCUGUAGUCAUUAGGAGCAAGGUUCCCUCAUCUCCCAGAUUCCUGCUUGAGGAGAACCUUGUAUUUUGUUUCAGGAUAAUCUCAGGGGAUAAAUUCCCCAGCAGUCAUAUUUGGACCCUCAAAGCUAGACUGCUGUGGGUCCCCUCCUUCCCUCCAGCAGCACCUCAGAGUGGAGCUAAAACUAAUUAUACAGGAGGUCUGAGUGAAUUGCUCUAGUGAUAGGUCAGUAAUUGGGAUGGUGUCCCUUAGUCCUGUCUACACUACAGGUGAUUCUAGUCCUGACAGAGCCUGUCAGCUUCAGGUGCCAGUGCAGACAGGCCAUUCCUGGCUGGAGAACAGAUCAUUUACACACAUUCCCACCACAUCACUGAUACUCAGACCUCGAGCUGAGCCUGUGAUUCAAGCAUGUUUGAAUGGCAGGUGCUCUAAUAGAUACUGGGUUUGGUUUUUUUUCCCCCCCAGUACUAGUACAAAGCUACUGACUUGCAGUAACCUUUGUCAGCUACAGAUCCUGCAGGAUGAGCAGAGUUUCUACUUCUGGUGCCUGCAGGGCAUUCUGAGUGAUCAGUUUUUACCUGUUAGUUGCACACUGCACUUUCAUAUCAUUUCAUUCCCUCCUCUCCCUAGCUCAGGGUCUGUUCCCACCUGCAGGAAGAGACAAAUUGCAAAUUAAAAAGAAAGGGGGUACCAAUAUCUAUGGUUUUGCUUCUUAAAUUAGCAAGUUAGCAAUUGAUACCAAAGGAAUUUGUUAUUCUCUCAAUUAAAUUGAGGAUUAAGAAAAGUCUGCUGCAGAGGCUGAGCAUUCUUUGUGUUGAAAAUUUGAACAAAUCUUUUACUUCCUUCUAAAACAAACUUAAGAUACUGAAAAAUAAGUUAUUUUAGCACAUGUCCAUUUAAUGCAUGCUUAUAUUGACAGGCAGGUGUGUUUUUCAGCAAGGUACACUAUUCCAGAACAGGAAUUUUAACAAGAUAAAAGGACAUUGAAACUGGUUUUAGCAUAUAUAUUUUUUUUUAAUAUCUAUUUGCCAUUUGGGGUUCACUAGUGUUGUGUGCAUAUAUGUGUUUUAAUGCUUGCAAUGUAUUUAUUGAUAAUUAUUGAACAUGCAUUAUGUAUAGGAAAAAUAAGCUAAAUGUCACUUGAAACUUGCUUGAGGAGGUACUGUAACAUCUGUGAGAACUACAUAAUCAAGCAGAGCUUGAGUUUUUUGGUGCACAAGCCAUUGUUUCAAGUGCUGGCAGCUGAAGUGCAGCUCAAAAAGUCUGCUGCACAUCCCUCCAGCUCAUCAGGAUGUUCUGUCCACCCAGUCCUGCCAGAAGCUGUGUCCAUGGAAGCAGUUUACAUUGUUCAUGUUGACUCUCUCUGCCCACAACCCCCAUCCCUGAACCCCAAAAAAAUAGUGUUACUGUUUGCUGGCAAAACUAAUGGCAGAGAAAUGCUGGGCUUCAAUCUGAUACUUCACCCCAUGCAAGACACUAAUAUACAGAUAAUUAAUAGUUGAAAAAUUCUAAUUACAAUACCAAUCAACAAGGAAGACCUCAUAGAUCUGUGUGCUUUACUAAGUCCUCUUAAUUUUCUUACAGACAUCCCCUGACUGCAAUUCUAGCACUUCAAUUUCUAUUUAACUGGAGCAGUCCAUGAAAGUGGGGGGGGGAAAAAUGAAGUCUGUAGGUUAUUUUUUGUUACUGUAAAAGCAAAUCAAAUCAUCCUGGAGAGGGGACACAUCCCACCUGGUGUGUGGAAAAAAACCCAGAGCAACUUUUAACCCAGGAUUAUUUUGUUGUAUUUUACUAGAAAGGAUUUGCACGUGCAAGACCUGGUGGUGUUAUUUGGGAUGAUCCAGAAGCACUUGAGAGUCACAACAGUUUUAACACUGAAAAGUUUCUGCCCAUUUUUUUUCUAAAGGAAAAUAUAAAGCACAUUCUGAACAAUGUAUUAAUUGAAUAUUUUAAAAGUAGUAAUUCAAAGCUGUCUUUCCUACCUUCUCAGGAGCAGGUUCCAUAUUUCCUGACCUGUUUCCUGUUUGUCUUGAAGGUCAGGAGGAAGAAUCUGAACUUCAGCAGGUCCAGCAUUUAGAAGGAUGUACAGAACACGCUGCCUACAAGACCCCAGUCUGGUGCUACACAGACCUGUGUGAGAUUUGCUUCUGCCUUGGAACUGGAACUGCUUCCUGCCAACAUCUUCUGCCAGUCCUGACUUUCUACCACAGACUAUUUAGCUCCUGUCUAGUACAACUUGGAAACUCAGCCUGUCCCCUCUGAAGCUGCAGGAUGCCACAUACUAAGUGUGCCUUUAUGAACCCGAGGGGGUGUGGGGUCCUGGGCUGAGUCUCUUUUCAACAAGUGAAGGAAAUUGCACAUGUAUUUAUAUUUUUGCAGCCACACAACAUGACCCCUUGGGAGCAGGGUGUGGCACAGAGUUGGUUUGCUCAGCAUUUAUGCAGGAAAGAAACUGCUGGAAACCUGAAGCUGCCUGUAGCCAUGAAAGCUCUUGUGUUAGUGCAUUGUAGAUGUAUUUAUGUCCUCCUGCGUGUGCCUGUGUUGGCCAAAGGAUCUGUGUGCUGUGAUUUUUUAAUAAAAGACUUUUGCUGUA